UGUACAUGUCUAGUGGGAUGAUGUCAUCUGACCUUGACCUCAUUUUCAUGGUUCAGUGGUCAAAAUUAAGUUUUUGAGUUUUGGUCUUUAUCUAUUAAAUACUAUAAGCCAUAGGUCAACUGUAUUUGGUGUAUAGAAAUAUUUUUUGAUCUAUAUGUCAGUGGCACAGGUUUUAUUUGACCUUGAUCUCAUUUUCACGGUUCAUUGAUCAGUGUUUUUGUGAUUUGGUCUAUUUUUCUUAAACUAUAAGUAAUAGGUCAACUAUAAUUGUUGCAUUGAAGCCUUGUUAGCUGUAUAUGUCUGCCUGGCAUGGUUCAUCUGACAUUGACCUCAUUCUCAUGGUUCAUUAGUCUUUAUUUAUUUAUCUUGGUUAAUGUUAAGUUUAUGUGACAGUUGUGAUAAAGCUUUAUACUUAGGACUAUCAACAUAUUAUCAAUGAUUAGUAAAAGAAGGCGAGACAUUUCAGCGUGUGCACUCUUCUUAUUAAACACACAUUAAUAUACAUCAUGUACAUUAAACAGCAAAAAAAAAAUAUUGAUGCAAGAUGCCAUUCAAUAAUAACUUUUACUCUUUUAUGUAUAGGACAAGAACUAUAGAAGAUACAGAGAAAUUAUAAACAGCAGAAAUGAUAGGCAAUUUAAAAUUUGCAGAAGCAAACUAAACCUAAAUGGUAAGGCCACUUUUAUUUAUUUUUUAAAGUUGUUGAACUUGAAAGAUGAUAAUCAUGAUUACUAUAAAAAUUAAAAGAUGUGGUAUAUUAAAUAUGAAAACUAUCAUGGCUUUAAGAAAGCAAUUGUAGGCCUGUGACGACCUUCAAUAAUGAGAAAAUCCAUACCCUAUAGUCAAAGAAGGCAGCUAUAAAAGACCCAAAGAUGAAAAAUUGAAACAAUCCAACAUGUCCAAACUGUAAAACUAAUUGCCUAGUUUAUUACAAAAUAAAUUACAAAAAAUAAAUAUAACCGGUAUGAAACAACAACAACAACCACUAAAUUUUAGUGUCAGACUAAACUUACAAAAACUACAGGCUCUGAACUUUGGACAGGCACAAUAGGAAUAUGGCAACCUAUGAUGUAAAUUUCCUGCAAACACAGACUGGACUAAUGUAAAUCAACUAAUUUUUCGCGACUACUUUAUUUUGCGUUUUAUACUUUCUAGUCUUACAUCACAGCUAAUUAUUUUUCGCAAGGUUCAAGUUUACUUAAUGAAUUUUAAUAAAGAAAGAUACAUAUGAAAAACAUUUAUUGCUGUUUCUCUCUCCAUUUAUAACAUUUUAUUUGUUUAUUUUGUGUAUUUAUAGGUGAUCAGACAUCUUGGUUUUCAUGAUCAAUAGGUCAUUACUGAAGAGGAAACUUAAAGUUGAAAUUUAUUUACAAAGUGCAUAAUUGGAUUAAUUUGAACUGGAAUGUGUGCUUUCCUGCAAAAAAGAAACAGGAAAUUUCAUCAUUAUCACAUGAUAAUGCCAAUAAACAAAAUGGAGUUCUAUCAUAGAUACACAAAAACACUAUUGCAUAAAAGCAACAACAUAUUAUAUAUAUUAUUCGAAAGAAAGGAGAAUGCAGAACAAAGGAACACCAGUUUUAUCCACUCAUUUAUAUCGCUCCCUCAUAUCAAAUAUACGGAAGAAGAUCAUUGAAGAACAAUUUGCAAAAAUGUUUUCUCUUAGAAUUGAAGGAAAAUGUUAUAAAGUGAAUGGAAUAAUGUAUUCACUGAAUUCUUACGUAGUGGAUUGAAAACUGUACACAAGCUGAAACAGAAGAAAAUUUUAAUUUAAAAUAACACGAAAAGUGUAUAUUUUAUUAUUUAAUCUGCAAAUAUAUAAACAAAUUCUUUAGAACACCACAAAUGGUAUGACAUUCAAAUUGGUUGCUUAUUAAUGUAUUGCAUUGAAACAAUUACAAAGAAAACAGAAUCAUUUGCUACAAAUUUUUUUAUAAAUCAUAGUUAAAUUUUAUAAAAAGUAUGAAC
RNAcentral lists this long non-coding RNA (1965 nucleotides) under Mytilus galloprovincialis (Mediterranean mussel). Lineage: Eukaryota; Metazoa; Mollusca; Bivalvia; Mytilida; Mytilidae. The record is from RNAcentral.